AUUCUGUGUCUCCCUCUGUCUGCCCCUCCCCCACUCUGUCUUUCUCUCUCAAAAAUAAACGUUAGAAAAAAAAGAGAAAACCAACUCUUCUUGUUGGUUUUAAGUGCCUAGGGAAAUGAGAAAAUUAGUAGACCCAAUAUUUUAUUUGUUAUACUGUAAUUUGAAUCGUUAGAAACAUUGAGAAUUAAAUGUUUGAGUUUGGGGGUUUUUGUUUUGUUUUGUUUUUGUAUAAAACUUAAUCGAGGGUAGUUUGAACAGUGCUUACCUUCCUGUCUGUCAUAUAACUUAUUGUACAGAGUGAGCAUUUUUUCCAUGCCUUGGGAAAUUGUCAUACUCCUUUCCAGAUUUGUAUCAGCUUUCUGUAUUUUAUUCUUUGCACUUCCGAUGUCAUGAAAUAUCUUUGAGAUGACAGAUGAUUUUUUUUUUUCCAUGUCUCUUCCCUUGGAACAUCUUCAUUCUUUCCUGCACAGCUACUCUCUGCAGUUAUGUUCAUAAAUUUACCCUUACUAAAUUCUUCUGGCUGCAUAUCCAGAGCAGAAUAGUGACAUAGUGACAAUGUCAUCCCACAGCCAACUGUUUCUUCUCUAUCUCCAUUUACCUUUGACUUGAACUUCCCUCUCACCACUAUUGCUUUUUGUUUCCUUGCUACACUAUUAUCUUUGUUGGCAAUUCGAUUAUCCUUUUUUUUUUUUUUUUUUUUUUUGUAAAUAUCACAGGUGUUUACCACUGGGAAUGAAGGAGACAACAUGACCACAUGCUUUGUCGUCUGUGCAUAAACUGAAUAACAAAUUCCAGUCAUCUAUUGACUGGCUGACUGACAGAGAAGUGACACGGUUGGUCACAGAUCAUGAUUUGGAUCUGUUACUUGCAUAGUCAUUUCAUGGACUAAAAAGCUAGCAGCAAAAUUUGUACUUAGGCAAGUACUCACAGUUAAUGUACUCGGGUAACAGAUUUGAACGGUGAACUGUAUUGUUGAGGGCCUGAUGUAGGAAACCAAAUGAUUGAUACUUGAAAUUUGUGCUGUCGCCAUGCAAAGCAAGGGCUAUGCUGCACGUAGGUGGCGUGUGACAUGUAGUAAGCACUUAGUACAUAGUAGAUUGUUUUACUUGCAUCAUCUUUGUCAUUUUCGUUAUAUUACUACUGCUUUUACUGUUCGUUCUGAGCUGCAGGCCACUGAGGAGUCAGCCAGGGAGAGAGGGGCUGGUGCCGGGAGGUGGCAGACGGCUCUGUGUUCUCAGCCAAGAGUGUAAAUGGCCACGUCCAAAGGAUACCUUAAUCUCGACUGAGGACUCGGGCCAAGGGCUUAUUGGCAGAGGUCUGGGGAGGAGUUCUGGGGAGUGCCAGUAGGUGGGCAGGACUCAGCAGAGAGGCAGGGCAGGCACUGCUCCUGAGAUGAGAGAAGCAGAUGGUGUCUGAGAGGUCUGUUCACAGAUCGCAGGGCUCCAGCCAUGGGUCUUGGCUAGGGCUGUGGCCAAGGCAUGGGAAGGGCAGCUGGCAAGAGCAAGGCAGGGCUCUAGGCCAGGUAGUGCCCACACCAGUUACCGGAACAGGCAACUGGUGCGCGAGUCGAGGAAGAAAAGCACUCCUCUUGUGCGAAAGAGGGCGGAAGAGGCCCAUUGCAGGUGCAGUGGCUGUAGCUUGAUAACAGAGAAGAGCCCAGAGUGCCUCCUCUUGGGACAAGAAGAUGACCCAUCAUUGAGCCCCAUCAGGAAAAAGUGAGGGAGCCGAGGCUCCUUUAGUUCUAGUUCCUGCCCCACGUGGGUGAUCUUGGAGCCCAGCCCUGGGAGACAGAGGCAAUAACAGAGGCUCUCAGCCUGACCCAAUGUAGUGAUUCAUUGCUGCUAUAGAUUGCUUCUUCCUUUCCUUCUAGUCCUUCUAUCAGCCUUAACAGAUUUUAUCUAAGACCUUAUCUACCAAGUAGUACACUCAGUCAAGGCAGGCCCUUUGGGUAAGAAGGAAUGACGAACAUUUGACUCUCAACUAAUACAAAGUAAACACGGAGUGAAAAUGACUCAGAUGUACUUUGUAUCAACUAAUGAUACCACAAAUGUAAGAUGCAUACAAAUCACACAGGACUGCUUGUGGGCAUAUAACUGAAACCGGACCAAAGUGACGUACCCACAUGAUGGUUUAUUUUCCUCAUACGGUUAGAUGUUUCAGAGUACUUCGUUCACAGCUGCUGUGGUGACUCCCGGUGCCAUCGGGGACUUAAGCUCCUCCUGUGCUCUUGCUCUGCCCUCCUUAACAUGUGCAGGGCUGCUGAAUCCUACAACAUCAGGGGAACCUGCCCACGUUGGGCAAGGAUAUCUUCCAUUUGCUUCUAUGUACCUACGCUCCACAAUUCUUCAACUUGUUUAGUGUCCUGAGAGGCUGACUUAAAGGCAAUAUGUCACUGGAGCUCCCCUGCCCUCUGAUUUCCAGUAGAGUUUGGCCAGUGGGGGGCACCACCAACAGGAGAUUGUAAACUUGGGGUAAUUAGCCUUCUAGUCGCUUUCCUGUGAUCAGUGCAGGCUGCUCCUUUUCCAGUCCUGGAACCCCCUCCUUCCCUUGCCCUCCAGAGUUACAGGUGGUCAUAGCUCCCUAACUGCACCCUUUCUUAACCUGUGUUUCCUUAAUACCGACCUUUCCAAAUAAUGCCCUUUUUUCAGAGUCUCCACCAUUAGUUUGGAGAGAGCCAUCUGUGUCCUGCCAGUGCUGGAAGCCGAGCUCCCCAGCCUGAGUGGCAGGGCCCGGGCUGUGGACGGAUCGGUGACUGCAGGGUCACCACCCACAGUGAAGCUUCUUGUACUCCUGCUUUUAGAGCUUCGAGAUGGCCACUCCACCUCCGGGCAUCCAGGUUGGACUUCAGACAAGAAGAAAUGGCAAAAGGCACUAAACAGCUCUUUGCCAGGAAAACGGUAGCUUUUUAGGAAGUCACAGACAGCAAACUUCCUUCUGCUCACCUGCCAUUCUAGCUGCAGGAUGUCUGGGGAGGCAUUUUGUCAUCUCACAUCAGCACAAGAGGAAGGGCAUCCACUGUGGGCCUGGGGACAGACUCCCCGAAGAUAAGGGGGGACGGCCGUGAUAACUUCCGUGUGUUGAGCCCUCGCUGAGCCCUUUACGAGCAUGACGUCUUUUAACCCUCAUGGGAGUCCUUGGAGGCUUCAGGAAAUUGAAGGUGAGAUUUUGAGUAAUGUGUUCAGUAUAAAGUCUGAGCUAAUAGUUGGGUCUGUCUGUCUGUCCCCACAGCCCAUACUGGUAGCCACUGUACUUAUCAGAGUAUCCCUUAAAACCUGUAUCUCUUUCUGGUCUCAUUUCUUCUCCUAGCGAAGCAUCUGUGCACACAGUGUGGAAAUCAAGGUCAUAGGUAGUAAGCCUCUUGCAUCCUUAGAACAUGGCCCACUGGAAAUAAAGGAGACUGAUUCCAAAGUUGGAGACAGUAAAGUGUCAGAGAGAAAGGGUACGAAGAACAAUCAGAGAGAUUUGGGUCCAUAUGGAAGUUAAUAUGAGGAACAAACAGAGCCUAUGAAAACAACAUAAUUAUUAUUUCAAUUGUGAGUCUCCCUCUGGGCUACUUUGGUUGUCAUACUCUCCGAACCUGCUUAUUCACCAGCUCUCACACUGUGGCAGGCAUUCUGCUAAGUGGAUCAGAGGUACAAAAGGGGGAGAAAACCUCGUCUUUGGAGGAAACUGGGAGGGGCAGGAGUCAGUUUGGAGGGCUUUCCACCACGAUGCCGUGGGACACGUCUGAUGGACUGUCCUGCUGCUCCUAAUGGCACAUGAUUUUGGAAGGGCAGGGGGAAGCCCUGAGCCAGGAAAUACGUUUUCCCGAGUGAGAGCCAGGAGGACUGGAGCAGGAGUGCUUGACGGCAGUACUCUGUGCUGCCACGGAACCUUCUCACUCCCCCCAGGUGAACCGUGCAUCCAAUGUAUCUGCCACAACCAGAGACGAAUACGUCACAACCAUGUCUGUUAGCUAAAACACUGAGUAAAGUUGUCCCAUAAAAUAGAGUACAUCUCCUUGAAGUGAAAAGAGGAAUAGCAUAAUGUCAAGCCUGCUUCAGAGAAAAAUGACACACUUCCUGGAUUGUGUGAGGGCUUCAGGAUAGGAGGAUGUAAGGGAACACCACCAGGGCAGCAGAUAAUUCCCUACUCCCUACGAACAGUGAUGGUGCCAGGUAAGUGGAGAAUGCGAAAACAGUGGAUGUGGUUUAACCCUUCGAGUUGCAGCCACAAAUCCUAGUACAGCAAAACCUUGGUUUGCAAGCACAAUUCGUUCCAGAAACAUGCUUGUAAUCCAAAGCAUUUGUAUGUCAAAGCGAAUUUCCCCCAUAAGAAAUCAUGGAAACGCAGAUGAUUCGUUCCAUGACCCAAAAACAUUCAUAUAGAAAUGAUUGCAAUACUGUAAUAUGAUACAAAAAAUAAAGAAAAUACAAAAUAUAAAGACAAAGGAACAAAUUAACCUGCA
This is a long non-coding RNA of Leopardus geoffroyi (Geoffroy's cat), 4447 nucleotides long. RefSeq lists it as uncharacterized. The transcript is spliced from 4 exons. NCBI's taxonomy places the organism in Eukaryota, Metazoa, Chordata, Mammalia, Carnivora, Felidae. The record is from RefSeq and is a predicted model, not a curated record.